This 253-nucleotide ribosomal RNA is filed under the name uncultured bacterium. RNAcentral's name for it is "partial 16S ribosomal RNA". It matches the Rfam family "Bacterial small subunit ribosomal RNA", at positions 524 to 776 of the family's 1533-position model. The record is from RNAcentral.
UACGAAGGGGGCUAGCGUUGUUCGGAAUUACUGGGCGUAAAGCGCACGUAGGCGGAUAUUUAAGUCAGGGGUGAAAUCCCGCAGCUCAACUGCGGAACUGCCUUUGAUACUGGGUAUCUUGAGUAUGGAAGAGGUAAGUGGAAUUGCGAGUGUAGAGGUGAAAUUCGUAGAUAUUCGCAGGAACACCAGUGGCGAAGGCGGCUUACUGGUCCAUUACUGACGCUGAGGUGCGAAAGCGUGGGGAGCAAACAGG